UGUUGUUGACCAGGUUUAGUUGCAUUUUAGUGGAGGUUGGGCCAAGGCUGAUCUCCAUGAGUUGGGGAGAAAGAUGUUAACCUGAAAAUGGAUGCAUGGCACGUGGUCAGUAAGUUUGAUUGUUAAUGGUGGUAGCAAAAUUGUAGUUGGAAAAAUCAAGUGUGGGCUUUUUCCUUCUCCCAGAAUAAGAUUUUUCUAUGCCUUUUUUCAAGGCAGAACUGUGAACAGACAAGGAGGAAACAUAAUAAAAUGAAAUGUUUGGCUGUGGGAAAAUGAUUAUUAAUCAGAAAUGUGAAUUUUGUCUUCACUUUUUAUAUUAAUACUUAGAGUUUCUGCUCUUAAAUUGAGAUUGUUUAGCACUUAUGUGUCCCCACUUUCUGCUUAAACCUUGAGGUAGUUUUCUUAUUUCAAGAAUUCUACUGAAAAAUGGUUAGAACUGUCAACUUGUGAGGAACUAUCUGUGAGGGUGUAUUUGAGGACAGGGUUUCUGGUAGUAGCCCAAUGCCCAAUUUCUCCACCAAGACGUCAGUGAUCCUCCCAGCCACUAGAGGUCGCUGGCUCUCCUGGUGAUCUGUUUUGUCAUCUUAGCACCUCCGGGAAUCCUAGCCUUUGAGCACCUGAGGGAACUGGAUAGUCUAGUUUAGAGUUUCUCAUUUGGCAUGCCAGGAACACUUAAUGAGUGAGCACACCAACAAAUUGGAGUUUGUGUGGAAAGUUAGCUUUUCGCUAUAAGUAAGAACACUUCCUGUGUCAACCACACCUGUGGGGUUGUAGAGUGGGGUUUGACCUGCUUCAAGCAAGAGCAAAAAGGAGUCCUUUAGUGCCAGUCACAAGCCUGAGAAAGAGAACACAUUUUACUUGGCCCUGGGAGUUGAGCAGAAUAAAGGGUGGUUAGUUCUGUAAACCGUACCCCUCAAAUGGGACUCAGAGCCCUUGAUCUAGGCCUGGCAUCUGAAAAUGGUUUGCACAUCAGAGAUGUUGGAUUCAUAGGGAGGUGCUGUCUCUCUUGUGAUACUAAAUCCCUGCUUCUUUUCUGUUUGGUGGUGUAGUUUGUAUCAUAGUUCUCUUUGAAACCACAGACACCAUUUAAAACAAGCAAACAGCCCAAUCCCAGGUUAUAUUACUUAGAAAACCAUGUGCUUUCUGGGUAUUGCCUGUCCUGUCAGGCAUGUCCUCUAUUCAUCUUUCUAUGAUCGAGAACUGUCAUUUGAAGAAGCAGUGCUGCAGGUAACAGCGUUCUGGCAGGUGUGGCUGUGUCAGCUGAAUGCCAAGCUGGGCGGGAUUACUUAGGUUUACGGUAGGGGUGGAGCUUGAGUCAACUCCUUUUCCACCAAGGAGCAUUUCUUUCUAGCUGUCAUUGAAGUGAUUCAUCAGGAUAAGUAGCCAGCUUGGAGCAUUCAUCCUCAGUUGUGUUAAAACUUGCUGGGGUUCCCCGAGAACCAGCAGAGUUGUGUGCUGGCAGCAUUUCAACACAGAGAAGGAGAAGACAGACCAGAGCCCAAGGGUCCUAGGGUCGUCGAGGUGGAUUUCCAGCUGUGCUACCGGAACACUAGCCCAAUCUGACACCUUCCGGCAGGAGAGGUGGCUUGUUUUCCGUGAGCCUUGAGGACAAUUAUAGUGAUCCAUACGUGG
Long non-coding RNA from Pipistrellus kuhlii (Kuhl's pipistrelle), 1632 nucleotides. RefSeq lists it as uncharacterized. The record is from RefSeq and is a predicted model, not a curated record. Lineage: Eukaryota; Metazoa; Chordata; Mammalia; Chiroptera; Vespertilionidae. The transcript is spliced from 3 exons.